ACUUGGCUCUAUCGAAGCUCUCAAUGGUUUUACACUUUAUCAUUGAGAGUCAAAAUGAAGCCUAAAUAAAUUUCUUUUCUAUAUGGUCGCUAAGUAACAGCUAUCUUCUGUUUCAUGGCACUACCCAAGGAAAGAACACUC
Small nucleolar RNA from Xenia sp. Carnegie-2017, 141 nucleotides. Lineage: Eukaryota; Metazoa; Cnidaria; Anthozoa; Malacalcyonacea; Xeniidae. The record is from RefSeq and is a predicted model, not a curated record.